RNAcentral lists this unclassified non-coding RNA (278 nucleotides) under plant metagenome. Its description in RNAcentral is "partial contains small subunit ribosomal RNA, internal transcribed spacer 1, and 5.8S ribosomal RNA". The stretch from base 230 to 278 matches the Rfam family "5.8S ribosomal RNA", at positions 1 to 49 of the family's 154-position model. The record is from RNAcentral.
GUAGGUGAACCUGCGGAAGGAUCAUUAUUGUAUAACCGAGGUGCGAGGGCUGUCGCUGACCCGAAAGGUCGUGCACGCCCGAGUGCCCUCACACACAUCCAUCUCACCCCUAUGUGCACCACCGCGUGGGUCCCCCUUUGGCUUGUUCGGAGGGGGGCUUACGUUUUCACACAAACUUUGUAUGCAGUGUAGAAUGUAUUUUUUGUUUUUGCGAUCACGCAAUCAAUACAACUUUCAACAACGGAUCUCUUGGCUCUCGCAUCGAUGAAGAACGCAGU